GAUGAACGCUAGCUACAGGCUUAACACAUGCAAGUCGAGGGGCAGCAUUUCAGUUUGCUUGCAAACUGGAGAUGGCGACCGGCGCACGGGUGAGUAACACGUAUCCAACCUGCCGAUAACUCGGGGAUAGCCUUUCGAAAGAAAGAUUAAUACCCGAUGGUAUAAUCAGACCGCAUGGUCUUGUUAUUAAAGAAUUUCGGUUAUCGAUGGGGAUGCGUUCCAUUAGGCAGUUGGUGAGGUAACGGCUCACCAAACCUUCGAUGGAUAGGGUUCGUGAGAGGAAGGUCCCCCGACCAUUGGUAACUGAGACACGGUCCGAAACUACCUACGGGAGGGCAGCAGUGAGGAAUAUUGGUUCAAUGGGCGCAGGCCUGAACCAGCAAGUAGCGUGAAGGGAUGACUGCCCUAUGGGUUGUAAACUUC
This 423-nucleotide ribosomal RNA is filed under the name uncultured bacterium. RNAcentral's name for it is "bacterial SSU rRNA". It matches the Rfam family "Bacterial small subunit ribosomal RNA", at positions 28 to 433 of the family's 1533-position model. The record is from RNAcentral.